CUCUCUCUCUCUCUCUGUCUCUCAUAAAUACAUAAAUAUUUUUUAAAAGGGGUGGGGGAGUUUCAUCCUUAUUGUCACAGAUGAGGAAACUUGAGAAGGUUAAAUAACUUGCCCAGAGCAAAUCAGCAGUAGGUAACUGAACUUGAAAUUACAAAUAUGAAUAUCAGGAUUUGAAAGUAUACCAGCAGGAGUUUGUAGAGGUUAUAAAGGCAAAGCUCACUGAUCUGCCUUCAUCCCCACAUUCCCUGUUUUCCUUACCCUGCAUUAUUCUUUUUCUAGAAUACCUAUAUUACAAAUUUUAUGUUUUAUUGUCACUCUUUCUCCUUCCAGAAUAUGAGUACUGCAAUGUCUAUUAGUUUUGUUCACCAUUGCAUCCAUGGGGUCUAGCACACUACCUGGCAUAUAGUAGGCUCUCAAUAAGCUAAAUGAUCAGAGUAACAUACUGGAAGUGUGACAAGGAGACACAUCUAGUGUGAGAAUGUUAUCUUUUGACACGAGUUUAUGAACCAAGAAGCAGAGAGAUAGAAGGAUGUUUGUUGGAGAAAUGGAAGUUACGACCGUCAGAAGAACUAAAAUGAGACCAUUGAGUGUUAGGUCUUCUAAGGAGUAGGUUUGGGUCAGACUGGAGUUGGGUGGAUGGGGCUUCCUUUUCCUUGUACUCUUCUGUAAGAUUUGAAUUUUUACCAUAUACAUCACUUACUUAAAUAAUAAAAGCAUUUUGGACUUCAAUUCUGGUGAUGGCUGACUACCAAAAAUAAUAAUAAAAUAUUAGAUUCUUAAAAAUGAAGAAAUGAAAAAAACAGGAACUCUCAGGUCAGUUUUGGGAUGAAAGUCUAUAAUCAAGGAAGGAAAUGGAAUGUUGGAACAAGAAAGCUGCAGGAGUUGUGAGCUGUAAAGAGGGUUGUGUCGGUGCUCUUGAAGCAGGUGAGGAAAAGAAAUAGAAAAGGGUAAUGUACCUGGGAGGUUUGUGCAGAUUUGCUUCCCUGAAGAUUUGCUCCUUAAGUAUGCAUAGUUGGAUGGGCCUAGAUUCUCAGAAUCUGAACUUAACAGAAGCACAACAAAAUCUGUGGAUGAAGGCUCAUCCCAAGCCUUUAAUGCUUUUUUCAAGGUUAAUGUGCAGCAAGCAAUAAAGAUUUCUGCAAGUUAUGCAAACAACCUGAAUGUGAAUGAGAAUCAGCAAAAAUCAGAGAUUACUUAGACCAGUUACUAUACAAUUAUCAUGUUUUAAGUUUAUUGAGAUACAAUUUACAUAAAGUAAAAAUCACCUUUUUUUAGUUGUGCAGUUGUAUGAAGUUUGAUAAAUAUAUGUGCUCACAUACCCAUCAACACAAGAUAGAAAUCCAUUCCAUUACGCCCAGAAGGUUCCCCAUCCCCAGCUUAAGCCCCUGGCAACUACUGGUCUGUUUUCUUCCCUACAGUUUUGUGUUUUAAACGAUGGCCUGUAAAUGAAAUCACAUAUGUAGAUUUUGAGCCUGCUCUAUUCACUUAAUCACUUGAGAUUCAUCCACGUUGUUGUAUAUUAUCAGUAGUUUGAUCCUUUUAAUUGCUGAGUAGUAAUCCAUUGUGAAUGUACCAUGUUUUGUUCAUUUACUAGUUGAAGGAGAUUUGGGUUGUUUCCAAUUUUUACUGAUGACAAAUAAAACUGUUGUUAACAUUCACCUGAAGAUACUGUGUGUGAACAGAUUUCAUUUCUCUUGGGUGCAUUUCUAGGAAUGGGAUUGCUGGGUUGGUUAUAAGAAACAACCAGUUUUUUUCGAAGCAGCAGUACCAUUUUGCAUUCCCACCACAAUAUAUGGGAAUUCCAGGUGGUUCACAGCCUCAGUGGAACUCAGUAUUGUAGGGGGGUUGGUGGUGGUGGUUGUUAACGGUUUUGGUUUGCUUUUUUUGUUGUUUAUUUUUGUUGUUACUGGGUGUAUGAUUUAUCUCAUUGGUUUUUAUUUCUAUUUCCCUAAUAACAAAUGACAUUGAAUAUUUUUUCAUUCUUAUUUGAUGUCUGUCUUAUUUAAAGGCAAAGUUUUAAACUCAUACAGUUUUUAAAAACUGAUUUGUUUUAGUUAUUGAAUUUUGGGAAUUCUUUAUAUAUUCUGAAUACAAAUCACUUAUAUUUUCUUCUGGUCUGUGGCCUUUUUAUUUUUUAAAUACCUUUCAAAGAGCAGAAGUUUUAAAUUUUGGUGGCAGUCCAGUUUUGUCUGUUUUUUUGUUUUUGUUUUUGUUUUUUUUCCUUUUACAGAUCAUGCUUUUGGUGCUGAAUCUAAGAAAUCCUUGACUAACUCAAAGUAAUAAAGAAUUUUCUUCUAUUUCUUCUAGAACAGAUGUAAGCAAACUUUUCCUGUAAAGAGCUAGAUAGUAAUUAUUUUAGGCUUGGGAGGCUAUAGUCUGUUGUAGCAUGAAAGCAGCCAUAAACAGUACAUAUAUGAAUGGUGUUUCAGUAAAACUUUUUUUUUAAAUUUUUUAUUUAUUUAUUGAUAGUCACACACAGAGAGAGAGAGAGAGGCAGAGACAUAGGCAGAGGGAGAAGCAGGCUCCAUGCACCGGGAGCCCGACGUGGGAUUCGAUCCCGGGUCUCCAGGAUCGCGCCCUGGGCCAAAGGCAGGCGCUAAACCACUGUGCCACCCAGGGAUCCCAGUAAAACUUUAUCUACAACAACAGUUGUCUGCUUUGUGCCAUCAUCGCUUGGAUCUGAGAGUCUUGAGUUAGCCAACUUUAUUGAAGAUCAUCUCCUAGAGGAUUUUUAGAAUUCAAGAGCUCAGGAUCUCCUGGAAAGGCCUGUUACAUCAAGAUUCAAAGGAUAAAUAUCCGGGAGUAUGAUUGCUGAGUCUUGUGAAACCAAAGGAAUCAAAAUGGGCAAAAAUUCUCCCGAAAAAGGCCUGGGGCAGUCAGUGAAGUUCAGCUCUGAAGCUGCUGGUGCCGGAAACUUCAGGUAGGAACUGUCCCGGUUAGGACAGCCUGUUCCCCUUUUACGAUUAGCAUUUUUUUAAAAACAAGACCAGCAGUGUUUUUGCACAAUGACUAAAAUUGAUUUAGAAACAAAAUUGCUUUAGGACAGAUAAAAGUGAAGGAAGGAAUAAGAAUGUUGUAACUACGAAAAUUUAUUAGACUAGAAGUUGAAUAAUGUGUAUAAAGGCAAACAGUCUUUAGGUGGCAGAGGGUUUUUUGAGAUGGCAAGGGUAACAAGAAUUAUCUUGGGUUUGACUGGAUCAAGCAUUCUCAACCAGGAGGGUAUCACCCCUAAGAGGGUGAGAACUGGUUCAUGGGGGACCAGAAAGAACUUGGGUAUUCAAUGAUUUGUGCCCAGGGGCCAUAAAGAGAAAUACAGUAUAACUGUGGUGUUAGAAUUUCAUGAUGGGGAGGCAGAUGAGGAAAAGAUGUCUAAAAAGUCUCCUUAAAGGGACAAUAAUGGGGAAAAAAAGGGUUGAAAACUAGAUGAAUUUCACUGAACUAGAUGAUUCAAAUGGAAGAAUGCUGUUGAUCACCAAUGAAUCCUCCUGGGAAAAUGAAUUAGAAAUAAGUGCAUUAUCUUGACGGAAGGAAAAAGACCUUACACAUUGCCUAGGAAUGUGGGAAAUACAAAAUAAAACCCACUGGGAAAUAUAAAAGUAGCAGUGGGCAGCUGGGAUAUCCCCCACAGCUGCUCAACAGAUGAUGAGCCGCUGUCUCCGUAGAUAUCAGGGCCCAGGACACUGGGCUGAUGGCCUGAGCCACACUGCGCCAGCCCCCGGACAAGGUGCUAGGAGCUGACACAGCUGGGUGCGAGCCAGGAUUCAGUUCACCCACCCACCUCCCACCCUCCCGAUCUGUUUUGUUUUCCCUUGUCUACCUCCCUUCCUACCGUCCUCUCACGACUCCCGUCAUUCAUUCCUUCAACAGGCUGGGGAAUCAGGAGCAAUGUUAAUGAAUGAAAGAAAAGAAUGCCAGAAACAGAGAACCACAGGCUGACAUCAAAGAAAUGACCUCCAGCCAUAUGAUUGUACGUAGAAGGCCAGAUAGUAUAUGCUGACAUCUGUGAAAUCAAAUCACGAUGCAAACAGGCUUUUGGCCUCCCUCAUCCACAUUUCUGGCUCCAGGGCAAGGGCUUUUGUCUGUAAGCGAGCACUCAGUUACCGGAAAUAGACAUGCAGCACACCUGGAAAUGGACCAAAAUAUCCAGGAGGCAAAUGCUUCCAGAAGGGGAAGGCUCCUGGGCUCCUGCUCCAUUCUUUACUGCUUGAGGACGACAUGGCUGUGCCUCCCCUUCAGUUUGGUGGAGAGGCCUGCAAAGGACCAUGAAAUGACACCCCUGGCCUUCCUUCACCAGGCUCUUCACAGCACCACACACCAGGGCCCCACCCAACACAACCCUGAGACUCCAGGAGUAAAACAAAAGCCUACGAAGAGCCCUUGUUUUGGCAAAACGGUGGACAUAUCAAAUCCCGACUCUGCACAUUCCUCAGUAUCCGCAGCUGUGAUGUGGGCAGAUGGUCAACGUAUGGGGAAGACCUGAGGAGGAAGAGAAUUUCCAGAGACCCUGGGACAUCUGCCAUCCAGCCAGCAGAAGGGACGAUUUCUGAUGACAUCAGCCUCCUGGCUUCUCUGCAGGGUCUGGUGGAAUGAGAGGGAAAAUGGCCUCUCAUUGCCAGACUUUUGCCAUCCUGGCGUCCUUAAAAUAUGGCAAAGAUCUGCUCCAGAACCAGAGAAAUUAAAGUUGGAUGGACACUUCGUUCUUCCUUGCUCCUUGACAAACUCUGUUUUUGGUUUUGGCCUUCCUGUACCCAUCACAGUGCAUUCAAGAUGACUCAAAUUAUAUAGACACUGCUGAAAGACUCUUUUUGCAACUUUAUAGAAGUUUCCCCACUAAUGUCUGACUGAUCAAGUCCCUAAUCCUGAAAAGGCUGUUUUGUUUUCCCCGGAGGCCUCUGACCUCCCUGCUCUGGACCCUUUGAACACCUGCUCUUGGUACCAGUCACCAAUAGUCUGGUUAUUGCAUGAGCCUCACCCUCCCACAACACUUUGCCCUCCCUGUGGGAAAUUAAAAAAAAAAAAAAAUUUGUGUCUCUGCCUCUCUCAUGAAUAAAUAAAUUUAAAAACAAAAACAAAGAGUCCUGUUG
Long non-coding RNA from Canis lupus familiaris (dog), 5084 nucleotides. RefSeq lists it as uncharacterized. The transcript is spliced from 10 exons. NCBI's taxonomy places the organism in Eukaryota, Metazoa, Chordata, Mammalia, Carnivora, Canidae. The record is from RefSeq and is a predicted model, not a curated record.